AUGUAAGCUUUUCUAGUCUUUUAUUCUCAUGAGUUGUGUCAAUUUGAAUAAAUCAGUUCUUUCUUGUUUCUAUUGAACUGCAAUUUUUGCGUUUGUUAAUGAUGUUCUUGAAUAAUGAAUGAACUACAUUGAAUUGUUAUUAUGAUUACAUUGUUCACUUGUGUCAAUGGAUGACGAAUAGAUGAUAAUGAUUAUGAGACAUUCAUCAAUGAUAACCUUGUAUUUACGUUUUUUUUUGUGGUGAAUAAAAGUAUCCAGUAAAGUUUUUUCUCUUUCAUGGAUAUACAUGUAGCCUCUAUUCAUGUUCAUAUGUUGUGUAUUAACUGACAGUGAAAAUUGUUGACAAUUGCGAACGAGCAACAAUAAUGAUAAUAAUAAUGAUCGUGAUUUGAUAAGCAAGAUAAAGACAAUUUGGCUAUCAAAUGAAGCCAACAGAAUAGACAACAACAGGAAAAGGACGUAACCUGUACCAGACAAAAUUACAUGUUGGACUCUUUUUGUUUAUUCCAGAUGAUUUGUAAAAAAAGAAGAAGAAGAAGAAGAGGAAGAUGAGGCCAAAAGAUUCUGUAAAAGGAUAAUGAUGGCCCUCUAUGAAGAAUUGAAAUGCUGUUUGCCAUAUUUUGAGUUUCCCUUCAGGCAAUCACUGGUUAAAUUGGUUAUUUUUUUAUUUAUAUUUCGGUUCUCAUCUGAAAAUUUCAUCCAAAGAAUCAUCCCCUUUUGAUUAUGAUUAUGCCAAAGAUGUUAAAUAAGAUUAUCAAUUUGGCCUGAAGCAAACGAUCUUACUUUUACUGUGGCGCCCUUAAAGCAAACCAAAACAUCUAUUGAAAGGAAACAUCCUCAACAGCAUCAAAAUUGAUUGUCACAUUGAUUGUUUUCUUUGCAUUAUAAUCAUUGUCAACUUUAAUCUUAUUUUACUUUAAUCAUUUCAAUUUUGACACUUUGUAUUCAAAGUCUAUUUUCUGGUUUCUUCAUCACUUUUACACUAAUAUUGGCAAGUAUCAACACACACACAACUGGAAUGUUAUACACUAAUCCAAUUCGAUUAUUGUAGUAACCAAAACGUUUAUUCAUAUUUUUGAUUGAUUAGGAGGUUUUGGAGAGCCAACAAAUAAUAUUUAAAUUGAUGUAUUACAUUAUAAUUCAUUGAAUUAAUUCCAUCUUUUUCAUCUUUCUUCCUUCCUUCAUUGGCUGCAAACUUCUUGGGCUUUAAAACUGGUUAAAAAAAGGAACCAUUAAUGCAAAAGCUGACUUUUUUUUAAUAUUACUUGAAGAGCCUUUAAGGAUGUUUUAUGUUGUAAUAAUACAAAGUAUGAUGAUGACAAUGACUUGUAAUGUCCAUGAAAAUUGUCAACAAAUUGAUGUUAUAACUCAAAAUUGGUUUAUAAUGGCUUUUAUCCAGACGGUGAACAGACUCAUAACCAUCAUCAUCACCAUCACCACUAUCAUCAUCAUUAUUAUCAUCUCUAUCAUUCCAGUCAGCUUUAUGUAUUCAUUUAAACACUGUUCAUGGCAUUCUCAUCUUUUCAUCUUAUUCUUGGCCGUCUCUUUACACGUCUCAGACUCAAGAUAAAGACUCAACAAGAAGAUAAAGAAUAUUUCAAGAUAUUUUGCUCCUCAUCCAUCACUGACAUUCACCGAUGAAAAAGAGAAAAAGAAAGUGGCUUCUCAUCAAACAUACACACCUCCUGCUCCUUCUCAUCAGCAAUAAUCAUUUUGAUUCAUUGGUUUCUCUUUCACUUUGUUUAUCCCUUUCCGGUUCUGGGCUGGUCUCCUCUACUUCCCUUAACCUUGGUUAUCUAUUGACUUCCUCACCCUGCUAUUUACAUCUUUUCAUAUUUUCAUCAAUUGAUUCGUCAAAUAUACAUUUAAUUUGAUGCUUUUAAAUGUCUUGUUUCAAGAGACGAAGAGACAGUGAGAGUCAAAAAGGCCAGCCAAGGUAGAGACUAUUUGUUUCUUUCUCAUGUCAUCCUCAUCUCUUAUCAUCCUCAUAUAACACCUUGCUGUAUUAUUAAGAUAAUUAUCAUUGGAUGGUAAUGAUUGCUUGACAAUCUCUCAAUAAGUAUCGUGUACAUAUUCAGUGGGUGGUAAAGUGAAAACACGCAAAGAUUUAUUCCAUUUUCUUUAUCGUCUUUUUUCCCCUGAGAAAGGAAAUUAAUAUAAAAGACCAAGCCAAAUCCGGACAAGGAUGAUAUUGGAAAUUGUAUCUUGAUAUAAUCAUGAUUGGUGACAAUAUUUAAACUAAUCUCAACAUUGAAUCUUAUAACUUUCAAUUUAAGCUUGCCUUUUUGAAUAAUACAACUUGGAAAGACAACAAAAUGUGCAGCUUAUAAAAAAAAGGAUCUGGUGACUCAUUCAAAUCUUGAUUCAAGUUUUUCUUCAUGCUGUUGGUCCUGGUUAAUAUUGAAGUUAUAAUCAAAAAUGAUGAGGACGGUGAGAAGGAAAAAAUACAAGGAGUAAUCAGUAUAAUGAAAGAGAUUGGGUGAGAAAGCAGGAGAAGGGAAUGAUGAUGAUCUGGAAGAUGGAGAUGGAGAUGAAGAUGGGAAAAAAGCAAGUAGAUUUGAUGGAGGAAUCGGAACCUUGAGAUUUUGGGAAACCAAAUUUUGGGUUAAGCGAUUAAAUUGAAAAUUGUCUAUUUAAUAGGUUUACGGUCAGGGUUAAGAUCAUCGAUCGACCGGUCAACAUUGUUGAGUUUAAGAGUUGGAAAAAGAUGAACAACAACAAAAAGAGAGAGAAGAGAUAAAAUGAUGAUCAGAAUUGGUAAACCGGUUUGUAGGUAAAAAGUUAUCAUGAUGAUGAACAAGAAAAAGCUUUCUCUUUCAUUUGUCUCAUCAACAUCAUCUUUCUCAUCCCAACCCAAUAAGGGAUUGAUAAACUCUGGAUAAGAGAGGGUAAAAUCAAGGUACAGUUGAAUGAGCAGGCGAAGCAGCAAACAAAAAAUAAGUUGCCUUGUAACUUGUAUCUUAAUCUGGUGAAAGUUUCAACCAUUCAACAUCAUUUAGCUUAAUUUUUUAACAACACUACAUUUUUACCGAGAUACCAAUCAAUUAAUUUAGGAUUUAGCUUGAGCAUUUCAACAUUUGAUACGUUAAUUGAUUCCCAUUCUUGUGAACAUUAAUUAAUUGAUUUAUCAAGUAUCCAGAUAUUUGUUUUACUUUUGUUAGUUACUCCAACAUUGAUCAUCACUUUUACUUUGAUUCAAUUUUGCUUCUCCUUUGGAUCCUCUUGAUGAUAUAAAUGGUUAAAUAUGAUUGCUAUUAUUAUUGUUAUAAAAGAGACGUCUUUCUGUCGAUUUGUUUUAAUGACUUUUUCACUUUUCUCUUCAGGAAAUGUUCAAGUGAAAUAUUAUUUCCUGCAGUUGAUCAUUCCUUAGCAUUUUCAGACUCCAAUAGUUUCCAAAGUCAUCUUGAAUAAACACCAUUUUUCAACCCGAAA
Non-coding RNA from Tetranychus urticae (two-spotted spider mite), 3432 nucleotides. The record is from RefSeq and is a predicted model, not a curated record. NCBI's taxonomy places the organism in Eukaryota, Metazoa, Arthropoda, Arachnida, Trombidiformes, Tetranychidae.